UGUAUGGCUUAAAGAGUGAUAAUAGACAUUUAUAAUGUACACCUAAAAAAAGAAGCUAGCUCAAUGGCCCAAAUGUUCUGUAUCACUGUGCAGGCUUCUUUGAAACAAACUUUUGCUUCACAAUAUGAACAAAAACGAGUGGUGACCUCGGGCUCACACUGCAUCUGGUCCAGCUCUGAACAUCAGAGUGGUCUAGCUAAAGGAGAUGACUCACGUUGGCUACAGAUGGAGCACAGUCUCUACUGCCCACCUCUCGAAACUCUAAACUCACAUAGUACUUCAACAACAACAGUCGGUCAGCUGGCAGAAAGGUCUUGGAUUCAUGUUAAGGCAGCAAUUCAAGAACUCAAGUGUGGUCACAGGAGGUCAUUAAUAGCUCCAACUUCACAAAAAGUGCUGCAACUCAGCUCUGGGACCCAGCAGAAAUUUCAACCCAACAAAAUGGAUUCAGAAGCGCCGGAGAGGCCAGAUCACAGAGGCCAGAUGUGAUCGCAUGCAGUGAGGUUCCUCUCACAGAAAUAUUGAUGAUGUCAUAAAGGGGACCAUACAUAAACACAUUCAUCUCACAGGACCGGAUGUUUUUCAUCUGCAGUCCACUGGCAUGCCAACACAACAGCAGAGCACAAAUUAUAACAAUAAAUCAACAUGCUCUCAAGCUUGAACUCCCACUGAGUUAAGCGCAGAAACGGAACCAGUCAUGGUAAUAAAAGCUGACAUUAAUUAUGUAAUCAUAUUUGUCCUUUUUUAAACUCCAACAUGUUUACUUAGAAUGUUUCUUUUGUGGACAGUCCCUCUUGUCCUUCAUCUCUGACUUCUGCUUCUCCCUAACUUCAGCUGCUACACUCUGACCUCCGCAUGUACCCAACCUUUGACCUAUUCUGUGAGGGCGAUAUUGGCCAUCAUCUGUGCA
Molecule: long non-coding RNA, 910 nt
Filed under: Oryzias javanicus (javanese ricefish)
Lineage: Eukaryota; Metazoa; Chordata; Actinopteri; Beloniformes; Adrianichthyidae
Description: lncRNA (ENSOJAG00000020103.1)
Source: RNAcentral